This 495-nucleotide ribosomal RNA is filed under the name uncultured bacterium. Its description in RNAcentral is "partial 16S ribosomal RNA". It matches the Rfam family "Bacterial small subunit ribosomal RNA", at positions 29 to 507 of the family's 1533-position model. The record is from RNAcentral.
AUGAACGCUGGCGGCGUGCCUAAUACAUGCAAGUCGAGCGAACAGACGGGGAGCUUGCUCCUCUGACGUUAGCGGCGGACGGGUGAGUAACACGUGGAUAACCUACCUAUAAGACUGGGAUAACUUCGGGAAACCGGAGCUAAUACCGGAUAAUAUAUUGAACCGCAUGGUUCAAUAGUGAAAGACGGUUUUGCUGUCACUUAUAGAUGGAUCCGCGCCGCAUUAGCUAGUUGGUAAGGUAACGGCUUACCAAGGCAACGAUGCGUAGCCGACCUGAGAGGGUGAUCGGCCACACUGGAACUGAGACACGGUCAGACUCCUACGGGAGGCAGCAGUAGGGAAUCUUCCGCAAUGGGCGAAAGCUUGACGGAGCAACGCCGCGUGAGUGAUGAAGGUCUUCGGAUCGUAAAACUCUGUUAUUAGGGAAGAACAAAUGUGUAAGUAACUAUGCACGUCUUGACGGUACCUAAUCAGAAAGCCACGGCUAACUACGUG